ACGAACGCUGGCGGCGCGCCUAACACAUGCACGUCGAACGAGCGAGAGAGAGCUUGCUUUCUUGAGCGAGUGGCGAACGGGUGAGUAACGCGUGAGGAACCUGCCUCAAAGAGGGGGACAACAGUUGGAAACGACUGCUAAUACCGCAUAAGCCCACGGUGCCGCAUGGCACAGAGGGAAAAGGAGCAAUCCGCUUUGAGAUGGCCUCGCGUCCGAUUAGCUAGUUGGUGAGGUAACGGCCCACCAAGGCGACGAUCGGUAGCCGGACUGAGAGGUUGAACGGCCACAUUGGGACUGAGACACGGCCCAGACUCCUACGGGAGGCAGCAGUGGGGAAUAUUGCACAAUGGGGGAAACCCUGAUGCAGCGACGCCGCGUGGAGGAAGAAGGUCUUCGGAUUGUAAACUCCUGUUGUUGGGGAAGAUAAUGACGGUACCCAACAAGGAAGUGACGGCUAACUACGUG
This 465-nucleotide ribosomal RNA is filed under the name uncultured bacterium. Its description in RNAcentral is "partial 16S ribosomal RNA". It matches the Rfam family "Bacterial small subunit ribosomal RNA", at positions 29 to 507 of the family's 1533-position model. The record is from RNAcentral.